Molecule: non-coding RNA, 2037 nt
Organism: Arvicanthis niloticus (Nile rat)
Lineage: Eukaryota; Metazoa; Chordata; Mammalia; Rodentia; Muridae
Source: RefSeq, a predicted model, not a curated record
AACUCGGGCGGUGCUAAUAUGUGUACGCUGACGCCUGGGGUUAGUAGUUUCGGCCGCGUGGAUGUGGAUCUGAACUUGGUGGCCGGGAACUCACCUUCCCAGCGACCCAUUUGACAGGGCGGGGCGCCUCACGAAGAUGGUGGCGCGCGCGGCGUGUGGCUCCAGUCGUCUUCGCCAGUCUCAGCUCAGCACACGGGCCGGCGUUUCGCUGGUUUGGAGUCCCCGCCCUCCGGGUCCCUGACCCCGCGCCCCCUUCCCGUGUCCCCAAUUUCUGGUUCCAGGAAUGCCUCGCGCUCGUAAGGGCAAUGCGCUCCGCAAGGGCGGUCAGCGCCGUGGAGGAGGUGCCAGGAGCAGUACUCAAGCUGACUCUGGUUCCAGUGAGGACGAAGCGGCCAGCGAGGCCCGGAGCACCACCAGUGAAUGUCCCAGCCUUCUCAGCACCGCCACAGAGGACUGCCUGGGUGGGGAAGCUGUGGAUGAACAGAGCCAGCAGGAACACCUGGAGGAAAAGCUGAAGGAUUACGUGGACUGCCUGACUGACAAGAGUGCCAAGACCCGGCAAGGAGCUCUGGAGAGCCUGCGCCUGGCCCUGGCCUCCCGCCUACUUCCGGACUUUUUGCUGGAGCGCAGCCUCACUCUGGCGGAUGCCCUGGAAAAGUGCCUUAAGAAAGGGAAGGGUGAAGAACAGGCCCUGGCUGCUGCUGUGCUAGGCCUGCUCUGUGUGCAGUUGGGCCCUGGACCCAAGGGCGAGGAGCUGUUCCAUAGCCUGCAGCCCCUGCUAAUCUCGGUGCUCAGUGACGGUUCGGCAAGCCCCACUGCCCGGCUCCAUUGUGCUUCUGCUCUUGGCUUGGGCUGUUAUGUGGCUGCCACCGAUGUCCAGGACCUGGUCUCUUGCUUGGCCUGCUUGGAAGGUGUUUUCAGCUGCUCCUGUGGCACUAGUGGCUCUGCUGCUUCUCUGGUUCCUGCCAGCCUACAUGGCCUGCUCUGUGCUGCCCUGCAGGCCUGGGCACUGCUGCUCACCAUCUGUCCUAGUACCCACAUCAACCAUAUCCUUGACAGGCAGCUGCCCCGGCUGCCCCAGCUCUUGUCCAGUGAAAGUGUGAACCUGCGGAUUGCUGCUGGUGAAGCCAUCGCCCUGCUCUUUGAGCUUGCCCGGGACCUUGAGGAGGACUUCGUGUAUGAGGACAUGGAGGCUCUCUGCUGCUCUCUGCGUACCCUGGCCACUGACAGCAAUAAAUACCGUGCCAAGAUUGACCGUCGACGCCAGCGCUCCAUUUUCCGCGCUGUGCUGCACUUUGUCGAGGGUGGCGAGUGUGAGGAGGAGACAAUCCGCUUUGGACUGGAAGUGCUCUACAUAGACAGCUGGGCUCGCCACCGCAUCUACACAGCCUUCAAAGAUGUGCUGGGCUCCGGCAUGCACUAUCACCUCCAGAACAAUGAGCUUCUCCGUGACAUCUUUGGCCUGGGCCCUGUGCUAGUACUGGAUGCUGCUGCCCUGAAGGCCUGCAAGAUUUCACGAUUUGAAAAGCACCUGUACAAUGCUGCGGCCUUCAAAGCCCGGACCAAGGCCCGGAGUCGUGCAAGGGACAAGCGGGCAGAUAUCUUGUGACUCAGACUGGCCAACGAGAAGGCUACCCAACCCAUACCAUAUUUUUAACAGAAGAUAGUGCAGAACUGGUCCCUGCCAGUGAUUGUCACUUUAUUUUUUUAAUGAUGAAGCCAAAAAUAGACAAAUGUGGGAGGGUCAAGGGAUCAGGACACUUAGACUCAAGCCCUUUGUGCCCUCAGCCCUGUGGCUGUGGCCUCUUCCUGUCCUGUCUCAGGUGAAAUCAAAUGUGUGCUGGUCCUGCAGGUGAUGGGUGGGCAGUGAGAAAGGACUGUCCCCUUUGUUUUUUAGACCUUGCCCCCUGGGGCUGCUUCCUUUGGGGGUCUGGCACCUGGCCACCAUGGCAUAGGGUAGGCAAAGCUGCCUAGAAUGGAUGUGUGUGCUGAUUUAUUAAAGAUAAGAGAGAAUUAAACAAUACUCAGAUCAGAAGG